UGGGGAAUAUUGGACAAUGGGCGCAAGCCUGAUCCAGCCAUGCCGCGUGAGUGAUGAAGGCCCUAGGGUUGUAAAGCUCUUUCACCGGUGAAGAUAAUGACGGUAACCGGAGAAGAAGCCCCGGCUAACUUCGUGCCAGCAGCCGCGGUAAUACGAAGGGGGCUAGCGUUGUUCGGAUUUACUGGGCGUAAAGCGCACGUAGGCGGACUAUUAAGUCAGGGGUGAAAUCCCGGGGCUCAACCCCGGAACUGCCUUUGAUACUGGUAGUCUUGAGUUCGAGAGAGGUGAGUGGAAUUCCGAGUGUAGAGGUGAAAUUCGUAGAUAUUCGGAGGAAUACCUGUGGCGAAGGCGACUUACUGGACACAAAUCUGACGCUGAGGAACGAAAGCGUGGGUAGCAAACAGG
RNAcentral lists this ribosomal RNA (405 nucleotides) under Verrucomicrobiota bacterium. RNAcentral describes it as "Verrucomicrobia bacterium partial 16S ribosomal RNA". It matches the Rfam family "Bacterial small subunit ribosomal RNA", at positions 355 to 776 of the family's 1533-position model. Lineage: Bacteria; Pseudomonadati; Verrucomicrobiota. The record is from RNAcentral.